Molecule: ribosomal RNA, 253 nt
Filed under: uncultured bacterium
Lineage: Bacteria
Description: partial 16S ribosomal RNA
Rfam family: Bacterial small subunit ribosomal RNA
Source: RNAcentral
UACGGAGGGUGCAAGCGUUGUCCGGAAUCACUGGGCGUAAAGGGCGCGUAGGCGGCUCAUGAAGGCUGUGGUGAAAGUCCGGGGCUCAACCUCGGAUCGGCCGUGGGGACUGGCGGGCUGGAGGGGAGCAGAGGCGAGUGGAAUUCCGGGUGUAGUGGUGAAAUGCGUAGAGAUCCGGAGGAACACCAGUGGCGAAGGCGGCUCGCUGGGCUUUUUCUGACGCUGAGGCGCGAAAGCGUGGGGAGCGAACCGG